Malurus melanocephalus (red-backed fairy wren) is the source of this 6401-nucleotide long non-coding RNA. RefSeq lists it as uncharacterized. The record is from RefSeq and is a predicted model, not a curated record. NCBI's taxonomy places the organism in Eukaryota, Metazoa, Chordata, Aves, Passeriformes, Maluridae. The transcript is spliced from 4 exons.
UGGGAGGGAACUCCCCCUUCUGUCACUGGACUGUACAAGAGAGGGGAGGGAAAGAGAAGAAAGAAAAAACUACCGUCUUCUGUCCACCAUUUUAAAGAGAGGAAAGGGGACUCCUCUGCUGCUCUCCUGUCUCCCUAUUCCAAAGGGAAAAGGCAAGAGAUCAGGCUGUUUCCUCACUGCAUUAGAUGGGAGAGGAAGCAGGAUAGGAAGAGGGCAGGAAGCAGCCAACAAAAGUUACACAGAUGCAAGGGCCCUUCACCUGCCGGCACAUCACCCUCCUAAUUCUCAUGGAAGAACUUAUUCCUUAUGCUCUGCAGGAUUAAGGUCUUCUGCGUUCAUUUGAACUACAUCAGCAUGCACACAGCAAUGUACACAGAGACCAACAGAAAGACCAGCUGUCAUGAUAUUCCAUUAGAAGUGUCCUAAGGUGUCAGGUGUCACACGGGAUUGAGUGGUGUCAGCCCUUUUUGUUUCAUGUCGGGACUGCAAUAGCGAUGAAAGAACUAAAAAAAAAAGAUCCUGUAGUGCUGGAACGCRCUACCUUGAAGCCUGCAGGCAACCACAGGAAGCUGGCUGUGGUCUGCACAACAUGGUAAUACCUUCUGGAAAAGCAGGAAAGGUGGUUACUGCUGCUGCUGAUAGAAACGUUGUCACCUUGUGAAUCCCAUUUGUACACUCUGUUUAGACUAAUCAUACAAAUUUAAGAGUAAUUCAAAAAUUCAAUGGUAUUUGGAAGCUAGUUAUGGAAGCAUUUGCAUGCCUUUCCUAAAUACUGUACCCAGGACAUACUUGCCAUGGAAAAAUGUAACCGAAAGUAUUAUUGGUAGAGCUCACAUACUGAGCUCUACCAGUAAUUAUGUGUAACAUAAUAUGUACAAGAUUUUGCACAAAGAUAUGCAGUCACUCUCAGGAAUCUGAAAUCCUUUUCCUUUGAUUUUCCUGUGGCUGAUAAAAAGUUGAGAAUUUAUGUGGACACAAUGUAAAUCAGCCUUAAGGGCAAAGUUUGUAUGCUGGUUUAAGAAGUAUUUAAAAUAAUAUAUACAUCUAUUGUGUGGCCAGCUUCCACAGAGAUGCUGCUUAUUAGCAGCAGUUUUAAAGCAGUCUUUUGGUUUGAUGACAUUACACUUUUCUCUGAUUAUUUUUAGGCAAUACAUUUGAUACAGGUGGUUAAAUUGCUUGUGAAUAUUUGAUAAAUAAUACCUUAUUACAAUAGAAGUGAUAAACCAAAUACUUUUUUUGGCUCAAGCACAUAUGUUAGACUUCUAGGACAUAGACAUAAAAAGUCUUAAUACUCCUCUGGGUUGCCUCAGAGCAGUGCAUUAACAGAUUUGAUAACACUGGAAACCACACAAGUAAGUCAUCAUUGGUAACUCCAAGACAACAACAAGCUGCUGUUGUAGCCAAAAUAUAGCUGAUGUAGUUUUGAGUUUUCUUGUCACUAAGUUUGUAGUAUUAGUUGUGAGAAAAUACAUUUGUAAACAGCACAGAGGAGCAGCAGGGAGCAGAGACACCAUAAACUGUCAGUAUGAUCAUUCCCAGCAGAGCACUACACAGCUACUGAAAGUUUCCUUUCCUGGCUUCUUAUACUUCUGAUUGUCAGCUUUGYUUUUUUUUUUGCUAUUUUUUUCCUUUCAGUCAUGAUCUGAGGGACUGCAUUGUAUCUGGAAUUGGAGUGACCAAACUUGGAGAUUUCACAGAAUCACAUCACAUUGCAAUCCUGACAGCUGCUUUUAAUUGCAGAUAAUGUGGCUGCAUUUUAAAAUAGAAAAAUAGGACAAGCAGUUACAGCACUUGCGUUUACUAUCUUUUUGCCAGAUGAGGCAAUUAGUUUUUUAUUAUUUUAUACUGUCCAAGAAUGUCUUAGAAAGUUAGCAAAACAUAUGGAUAUGCAUUGAGCAGUUCCAGAUUCUACUAAGGAAAUCAUAUGAUUGCAGUUUUACAGUCAACAUUUAGUCACGCGUUUGCUUGCAGUCUUUCAGAGGUAGAAAGAAAGCAAGCAGUGAAAGGAAAUAGAUAAGCCUAGGAAGGAAGAGGACAGCACCAGAGGUCCAAGUCUGAUUAAGGGAAAAUCUGGUGUUUCCUUUUCCUUCCACUAGUUAAUAACUAAUGCUGCAAAUUUAUUUAGUGGAAAUUGUAAAUAUGCUACUGGUGUUUUGAGUUCAUCUUUAGCAAUGCAGCCCAGAUUUUGACUGCACACUGCAAUUAGAUGCACAGAGUUAAUACUUUAAGUCUAAGGAGUAAAGCCCAUAAGAAGCCCUGAAUUUUUUUAUUUCAGUUCAAUAUGGGUUCAGCCCUCAGUGAAGUUCUUCCAGUUCAGUUCUGAUCCAAGUUCAAGAAAACUUCAGAARGAUGGUUUGGUUCUAUUCCAUUUUUAAGGACAAAUACAUGCAUAUAUAUAUUUGAGCCAGUUUGGUGUCAACUCACUGCCCCCACUAACUGCUCAAAUCCCAAAGCUAACCAUGCAGAUUUAAAAAAAAGUAUUUCCUAGACUUUGCCGAUCAGUGGACCACAGUCAAUCCUGCACAUCAGUGUCCUCAGACUUAGUCUUAAAAGCUUGUUCUGUUUGGUUCUGCAGAUUCAUUCAUCAGUGGUCAUCAGGCCACAUUUUGAAGGACUUCUGAAUUCAGGAUCACAAGUCCUAAUCUGUGGGAGCCAAGCUAAACAGUAUCUCUUUUGAUAAUGCUGUUCACUUCACAAGUGCGUUAUUCCAGGUCAUAAUCCUGUAUUUUUAUAUUUACUAUACACUUUUUUAAAGCUCACUUAAAAUUCACAAAUCUUUUUAGAAACUGUACAAGUAUAAUGAGAUUUUUAAAAAUGCUUUUGAGAUAAUCCUUUAUGCUAAUUAGAGUCAAGCUGUAUCCAAGCAUAUGUGUAUUUUCUUUGUUUUCUACAGACUGGUUUGUUUCUGCUGAUAACAAGAGGCUGAAUGUGUUCUUAAAACUAGCACAAACAGAUUUAAUCUAUUAGGAUUAUGCUGUUUGCAAUUGUCUGUAGGACAGCAUUCCAGCGUUCGGGACAAAAGCAAAAAUAUGAGCCUCGAGAUUUAUUAAAAACACAUCUAAUUGGUUAAAUCUCUCACAAAACCUCAGAAAUUGAGAAAAGAGAAACAUAUUGUAUGCUUGCCAUUUUUUAGAUGAACACAUUUCUCUAUGUAAUGUUUCUCGAAAACUGUUAAAAUGUAAGUAAGGGUGGGCCAAACAAGGUGGCCUGAAGACCAUAUGAGGGUCUUGCAAAYGGUUGCUGUCCUCUGCUGUCCCAGGUGAUAACCCCUUCCCUUCCCCCCUUUUCUCCUYCUCAUCCUGAUCCCCAUUGUACUUCCCUUUGCAGCUGUGGGCCUCUGUAAUGCCAGCAUCCAAGUCUCUGGUGCCAGUCAUUGAAAACCAGGCUGAUGCCAAGGAAAGGAAGGUUUUGGUAUAGGAAGUUUGCCCAAACUGCAGACUGAAACUUAGGCAUGCUGUGCUGGGUGCCGGCAGGAUUUGAGGACAUUAGGCGGUGAGUUGGGCCGCUCUUCAGGUUGCUUUUGUUACUACAAAAAUGAUUCCUUAUCACUCCUAAAGAAAGAUGAUGGACAGGACUGAAGCACAUCAUUGAAUGGGAUCAGCCCUUAGGCUGCUGCUUAAUUAUUCUGAUACUUUGUAAAUUCCAUUCAUUCCAGCAAUAAAGACUUUAAAUGCAAAUCAAAGAGAGGAAUUAAUAUAAAAUAUAGGUGACACAUCAUUAAUUCCUUGAAAGCAGUAUUUUAUUUAAAAGUAUGUCCARCAUGUAGGUAAAAUAUAGCACAGAAAGUUUUAAAGCAUCCUAAAACAUGGGGUUUAAAGUGACCCUGUAGCGUGUACACAUUUACAUUUGUUUCAAUAAUAAAAAUAAGUUUCAAUAAUAAAAAUAAUAUGACCAUUAUUGCAAUGAAUUCUGAGUGCUGUUUACUAUGAUACAAAUAAUCCCUAGCAAAAAGUUGAGUGAGGAAUAGUUAUAAAAAGGAAGCAGGCAUCAAAUGCAAAACUUUUGUAUACAUUUUGUUUAAAAAAUCCAAUAAACUGUAAUGAAAAAACUUGAAAUUAAUACUUGCAAAACAUGACUGAGUAUUUCUUAGAAUGUUUAGUCCUUUAAAUAUAUGAAUUAAUGCAGGUCUCUAUUUUUAAGUUUAGUUUAAAGAUGCUUUGAGGAGACACAUGAAAUACUGCAAGCCUGUUAUUAUUUAUUCCAGACUUAUGAAACGAUUUUUUAAAUGUAAAGCACCAUUUUAUUAAUGUGAGAACAAAGAAAAUUCACUAWUUACCCUGCAAAUCAAACAUUGGCAAAUAGCUAAAAUUAAAUAAGAUUCAAGUCUGAUCUUUUCACAAAACUAACUUAUUUUGCUUGCAAAUUACAGCAUAUGAAAUGCUAUUCUAACAUUUUAGAUAGGAAAAAGACAGGAAGGUUGGUUUUACUUAGGUGAAGAAUAGCUAUUGCUUUUUGUAAUCUUCUGUUGCUUUCCCAGGAUUUGAACUGGACAAACUUGUACAAUACCUAUGUUUUUUAAGGUUCUUAAUUUAAGGCUAAACUUUUCAGGAUGUAGUAAUGAUUCAUGGAAAUCAUGUAGCCUGCCAAGAGAUUUGCCACUAUUURUACUUUUGCCAUACAUCCCGUUUUCAAACAAAAAUACCCUUUGAUUAAAAAUUCACUUUUUCUAUUUUGUUCCCUUUCAAAAUCAAACCUUCCUGCAUGCAGGCUGGUGAAGCAUCCUGCAGUAGGCACUGCAUCCUCAAUUAGGGGAGUUAAAAGAAACAGAUGAAUUUCCAGAAGGCAGUUAUCUUCUCACAAGAAGUUUCCCUCACAGAUAACACACGUCUGAAGCACUUCAGCUCAGGAAGGGGCUAUACUGCAGCCACUGCAAUCUAGCUAGACUUUCUUGACUUACUUCCUUCUCUCUUUUUAGCCGUGCAGCCAAAGAUACUGCCUUCAUUGCAACUUAAGUUCCUAUUAGUGUUAAUUGAAGUAUAAGCCACUUUUCACCCCAUGCUGAGAAAUUACAAWAUGUUGAGUCUGCUACCCACUUUACAGAUGGAUAAAUUGCAGCUCAGUCUUGUUAAAUACUGCUCUUCCUACAGAAAAUGAACCUGCUCAAAACCCCUUGAACAGUAAGAGUCAAUCCACAACUUAUUCUGCCCUCCAGGUGUGUCAAACAGCACCCUAGAUAAGAAAAAAGCAAAUGUAUGUAAUAAGGUGUCCAGAGCAAUCUCUCAAAUUUGGAGAUUGUCCUUGAGACAAUGUGGGUACAGUGACUCAGCGGAACAGAUCCUAUUUCAGGGUUGCAAUCUAAAGAGAUAGAAUUAAAUUGCAACAAAGCAUUUUGAAAAGGGAUUUUUUGUGGCUUUCAGCUAGCAGACUUAAAACUCCUGAUACCAAGCUUGAUCCAAGUAACUUCAAAAGAAUUUGCACUGAGCUUUGCAUUUCCCCCCAUGGCUAACAUACCUCUGCAUUUAUUAAUUGUUAACCACCAGCACACCAAAUUGCAAACCUCAGCUAUGAAACAUCAAUUAUAGAACUAUUUGACUGGAAUCAAAAGGAUUUGCUUACAUAAACCCUACCAUCCAGUGAAAGAAAAAUCAAGACAGGAGCAUUGAAUUUGUUUUUCUUUGCAGCACUUGUCACUAAACUUUUCCUGGAUAUUAUCUGUUUGAAGUGUUUCCUGCUAAAUGCCAGCUCAUUCCUUAUGCUAAUAUAAAUAGCUUUUGCUCCAGCAUUAUAUUCCUCCUUAAUACCAUAGAAAGGAGUGGUAUUAUUUCAGUAUUUCAGUUCCUGGAGAAUGAAUAGCUCUAGYUCUGGAAGAAAACAAUCUGAAACACAGGUGCAAUCCUUUUUUAAAAAAAAGGAUCUAAGUAAAAUAAAAUACACAAUCAAGCAGAUUAAACACCAUAAUUAUAGUGAUACAUUUUUACAUUUCUGUAGACUUUGUAAGAGGCACUGGCCACUCUAAAGUCCUGUAGAUAAAGUUGUUAUUAUUAACGCAGUUAAUCCCCUUCUUGGUAACCCUGGCACCAGGACAGACUGAGUUGGCUAUAAGCUAWUUUUUUUUUCUUGAAAGUGAGUUAUAUAGACUUUGUCUAUAYGUGGAUUCAAACUACUGAUACUCGUGAUUCCUGUAGACCUUUAAUCUCUACUAAUACACCUUUCGGCAUUGUACUCUUUCUGGUGGUUAGUUAUUUGAUACACCUUGUGAGAAAUGCUGCCUCUCACAGGAGCUGCUGGCUUGUCCCUUUAGUCCCUUCUCAGACAUGAAAGCCAAACAAGUAAUUCCCUCCUUAGCGAACAGAAAAGCUUCUCAUCUUGCUCCUGGCAGCUGAGUUUCAGUUUGUAAUGUGCCCUCUAAGACAGGGGAUAAGGACCAGUSAUGGUCAACACCUGAUACCCUUCAUGGCCCU